AGGUCAGCCAUAGCUCAGCGGUUACUUCUGGCAACCUUCAUAUGCAUGAAACAUCCUUACCCAGGAUCAAUUCCCGCGGGCGCUACCUGACCCUUUA
This 97-nucleotide vault RNA is filed under the name Leptobrachium leishanense (Leishan spiny toad). RNAcentral's name for it is "Vault RNA (ENSLLEG00000020423.1)". It matches the Rfam family "Vault RNA". Rfam says of the family: This family of RNAs are found as part of the enigmatic vault ribonucleoprotein complex. The complex consists of a major vault protein (MVP), two minor vault proteins (VPARP and TEP1), and several small untranslated RNA molecules. The record is from Rfam by way of RNAcentral. Lineage: Eukaryota; Metazoa; Chordata; Amphibia; Anura; Megophryidae.